This 416-nucleotide ribosomal RNA is filed under the name Ranitomeya fantastica (red-headed poison frog). RNAcentral's name for it is "partial 16S ribosomal RNA". It matches the Rfam family "Bacterial large subunit ribosomal RNA", at positions 1951 to 2508 of the family's 2925-position model. Lineage: Eukaryota; Metazoa; Chordata; Amphibia; Anura; Dendrobatidae. The record is from RNAcentral.
CAAAGGUAGCGUAAUCACUUGUUCUUUAAUUGAGGACUAGUAUGAACGGNCCCACGAGGACUACACUGUCUCCUUUUUCUNAUCACAUGANAACUGAUNUCCUUCGUGAAGAAGCGNGGAUGGAAGNAUGACGAGAAGACCCUAUGGAGCUUUAAACAACCGNGNUACUUGCUAAAUUCCUAAAUUUNACUUNCUGAAAACUAAACAAAUUAAAGCAUCUUACCCCCUAGUUUUAGGUUGGGGUGACCACGGAGAAAAAANCAACCUCCACGCUGUAAGAAGCCUCNCNNCUUCUAAGCUAAAAGNNACAGCUCUAAAGCAUCAACACAUUGACCUCCAUUGACCCAAUAAUUUGACCAACGAAACCAAGUUACCCUAGGGAUAACAGCGCAAUCUACUUUGAGAGCUCAUAUCGA